Molecule: ribosomal RNA, 460 nt
Filed under: uncultured bacterium
Lineage: Bacteria
Description: partial 16S ribosomal RNA
Rfam family: Bacterial small subunit ribosomal RNA
Source: RNAcentral
CCUACGGGGGGCAGCAGUGAGGAAUAUUGGUCAAUGGACGAGAGUCUGAACCAGCCAAGUAGCGUGAAGGAUGACUGCCCUAUGGGUUGUAAACUUCUUUUAUAAAGGAAUAAAACGAGGCACGUGUGCCUUUUUGCAUGUACUUUAUGAAUAAGGAUCGGCUAACUCCGUGCCAGCAGCCGCGGUAAUACUGAGGAUCCGAGCGUUAUCCGGAUUUGUUGGGUUGAAAGGGAGCGUAGAUGGGUUGUUAAGUCAGUUGUGAAAGUUUGCGGCUCAACCGUAAAAUUGCAAUUGAUACUGGCAGUCUUGAGUACAGUUGAGGUAGGCGGAAUUCGUGGUGUAGCGGUGAAAUGCUUAGAUAUCACGAAGAACCCCGAUUGUGAAGGCAGCUUACUAAACUGUGACUGACAUUGAUGCUCGAAAGUGUGGGUAUCAAACAGGAUUAGAUACCCGUGUAGUC